Pseudomonas fluorescens is the source of this 135-nucleotide non-coding RNA. NCBI's taxonomy places the organism in Bacteria, Pseudomonadati, Pseudomonadota, Gammaproteobacteria, Pseudomonadales, Pseudomonadaceae. The record is from Rfam.
GGUGGGGUGUUGCUCAGCCCGUUCCUGAUUUAUGUGGUGCUGGCGUUGCUGGUGACCGGUGCGUUGCGCCUGUCGCUCAGCCUGGUGCCGGCCGGGCGCUGGAUCUGGCAUGAAGCCUUGUUCGACUGCGCCCUG